UCCUGGAUCGUCUAAAGGCAGGACACCUGUUUCUGGAACAGGUAAUCGGGGUUCGAAUCCCUGUCCGGGAACCA
RNAcentral lists this transfer RNA (74 nucleotides) under Candidatus Uhrbacteria bacterium CG_4_10_14_0_2_um_filter_41_7. RNAcentral describes it as "tRNA-Gln". It matches the Rfam family "tRNA". Rfam says of the family: Transfer RNA (tRNA) molecules are approximately 80 nucleotides in length. Their secondary structure includes four short double-helical elements and three loops (D, anti-codon, and T loops). Further hydrogen bonds mediate the characteristic L-shaped molecular structure. tRNAs have two regions of fundamental functional importance: the anti-codon, which is responsible for specific mRNA codon recognition, and the 3' end, to which the tRNAs corresponding amino acid is attached (by aminoacyl-tRNA synthetases). tRNAs cope with the degeneracy of the genetic code in two manners: having more than one tRNA (with a specific anti-codon) for a particular amino acid; and 'wobble' base-pairing, i.e. permitting non-standard base-pairing at the 3rd anti-codon position. RNAcentral also lists the same sequence under 2 other names. Lineage: Bacteria; Candidatus Uhriibacteriota. The record is from RNAcentral.